GAAGAGUUGCCGGCCUGGUGAGAAAACAACGAGGUAAGCGCAAAUGACUACAUAAUAAAUCACUUAAGUGUGCAUGUGUUAACCAGUAGUGAACCAGUGGUCUCUCAAACCAGUGGUCUCUCAAUUAAAUAUUGUUACCGGAGUAAUAAGUAACUUAUUUGUCCCUUUUCUGUUAUCAGCGUGCCAGUACCACCAGGCCGAAACAUACCCCAUUGCUGGGGUUUUGAAAGAAAGAACAAGGAGGGGAGUGUUCCAAAGACUUCUGAAAUGGGAACCAUGCCCAGAAUGCGGGAAGGAUUUCGCUCCAACCUGGCAGACAGUUUAAGUGACCUCAAAGCUCCCCAGCACUCGCCAUGAAGGGAGGCACCAUGACGCUGGCCUGAUUAUCAUCGACAUUCAAAUCUAUUUCCAGAAUUCAUGCUGCCCUUUCACUAAUGUUACCUUUUUCAUGAGUACACAACCACCAUCAAAUUCUAAGUAUUCAUUAUGACUGGAAAAAUUGCACUUUUCAUACAUGAAAAAGGGAUCUUCAACAUAGUCCGCCAUUUUGAAUUUCCAAAAAUAGCCACUUUCAGCUGCAAAAAUGACUGCACUCGGACCAUACUAGAAAAUAUUUGUUUAUUACUUAGUACACUUUCAUGUAAAGACCAAAUUUGGCAAUAUGCAGCCCAGUUUCAAUGAGCAGCAUAGUUGCAGUACCUUUUUUGACCAUUUCCUGCACAGUGUCCCUUUAACAUUUACCAAGUACUUUACUCCAGACCUGAUUCACAAGGAGGGCUCAGUCUGGCUACCGUGAGGCACAUUUUAGUUGUUUUUGUGUUGAUUUCUUUUGUUUUUAUUACUAUCAUUAUAGUGUUAUUAUUAUUAUUAU
Molecule: long non-coding RNA, 871 nt
Organism: Engraulis encrasicolus (European anchovy)
Lineage: Eukaryota; Metazoa; Chordata; Actinopteri; Clupeiformes; Engraulidae
Exons: 4
Source: RefSeq, a predicted model, not a curated record